This is a long non-coding RNA of Herpailurus yagouaroundi (jaguarundi), 453 nucleotides long. RefSeq lists it as uncharacterized. The record is from RefSeq and is a predicted model, not a curated record. The transcript has 3 exons. Lineage: Eukaryota; Metazoa; Chordata; Mammalia; Carnivora; Felidae.
UAAACACGGAGCCUCUCUGCCGGAGCUGGGGCUCCGAGAACGGGGUGUCCUGAGCCCGCCAGAGAGAGCCUGUUACACAAAGUCACUCCCUCCGUGUCCAGGGCUCGCAUGAUUAGAUCCCUGGCCGCAGCCCAGUCUUCCCUGAGGAAGCAACGCAUGACGGACGAACAGGCUCUUUCUGAUUUGGUCAUCAUGGGUGUUUUGUGAAAGAAAAUCCUGGAAGAUGGCUUUAGUGUGCGGGAGAACAAAGGAUCCAGGCAGAAGAUCGUCUGGGAGAAGGUGGCCCCCAUGCCAUGAGGACACACAAGCCGCGCUGUGGGGACACACACCUAGAGAAGAACUGGGAGCUCCCACCAAUAACCAGCACCAACUUGCCAGUCAGGUGAGUGAGGCAUCUUGGAAGUGGCUCCUCCAUCCCCAGUCGAGCCUGCAGAUGAUGCAGCCCCACCCAAC